UACGUAGGGUGCGAGCGUUAAUCGGAAUUACUGGGCGUAAAGCGUGCGCAGGCGGUUUUGUAAGCCAGAUGUGAAAUCCCCGGGCUUAACCUGGGAACUGCAUUUGUGACUGCAUCGCUGGAGUGCGGCAGAGGGGGAUGGAAUUCCGCGUGUAGCAGUGAAAUGCGUAGAUAUGCGGAGGAACACCGAUGGCGAAGGCAAUCCCCUGGACCUGUACUGACGCUCAUGCACGAAAGCGUGGGGAGCAAACAGG
Molecule: ribosomal RNA, 253 nt
Filed under: uncultured bacterium
Lineage: Bacteria
Description: partial 16S ribosomal RNA
Rfam family: Bacterial small subunit ribosomal RNA
Source: RNAcentral